RNAcentral lists this unclassified non-coding RNA (215 nucleotides) under Hevea brasiliensis (rubber tree). The record is from RNAcentral. Lineage: Eukaryota; Viridiplantae; Streptophyta; Magnoliopsida; Malpighiales; Euphorbiaceae.
GCCCCAUCGGAAAACUUUGAUAAAAAGAAAGAGCACCCCGAUAUGCAUGGCUAAAGCCAUGAACCCAACCCAUGCCAGGAUCGUGACAUUGCUUUGUGCUUGCAAGAACUUUUGGGUUGGGAAGUUGAUAGCAAGGGAGAACAUUUGAGGUAUGAUUUGUAUCGAAAACUUUCCAGCUAACUCUGCUAUGUCAUCUCUUUGGCCUAACAACUUCA